This 465-nucleotide ribosomal RNA is filed under the name uncultured bacterium. Its description in RNAcentral is "partial 16S ribosomal RNA". It matches the Rfam family "Bacterial small subunit ribosomal RNA", at positions 29 to 506 of the family's 1533-position model. The record is from RNAcentral.
ACGCACGCUGGCGGCGUGCUUCACCCAUGCCAGUCGAACGGAAAGGCCUCUUUCGGGGGGUACUCGAGUGGCGAACGGGUGAGUAACACGUGAGUAACCUGCCCUUGACUUUGGGAUAACUUCAGGAAACUGGGGCUAAUACCGGAUAGGAGCUCCUGCUGCAUGGUGGGGGUUGGAAAGUUUCGGCGGUUGGGGAUGGACUCGCGGCUUAUCAGCUUGUUGGUGGGGUAGUGGCUUACCAAGGCUUUGACGGGUAGCCGGCCUGAGAGGGUGACCGGCCACAUUGGGACUGAGAUACGGCCCAGACUCCUACGGGAGGCAGCAGUGGGGAAUAUUGCACAAUGGGUGGAAGCCUGAUGCAGCAACGCCGUGUGCGGGAUGACGGCCUUCGGGUUGUAAACCGCUUUCGCUCAUGACGAAGCUUUGUGUGACGGUAGUGGGUAAAGAAGCACCGGCUAACUACGU